This is a long non-coding RNA of Nothoprocta perdicaria, 2205 nucleotides long. RefSeq lists it as uncharacterized. The record is from RefSeq and is a predicted model, not a curated record. NCBI's taxonomy places the organism in Eukaryota, Metazoa, Chordata, Aves, Tinamiformes, Tinamidae. The transcript has 2 exons.
CAGAAGAAUGAUUGUCUGACAUUUAGAAGAAAUGCACUUUUUAUUUUGUAGUUCUUGUAACCCUCUCACUCCAGAAAUGCCUUGCUGCUCAAUCCYUGCUGUAGGUACUUUUCCAAUCAACAGACCCCAUGCUAAGACAAAGCAAUCAUGGGCCACAAUUUAUCCACGUUUUUCAGAUCACCAGGAAACAAAAUUCCAAGAAGCACCAGGAAAAAAGCAGCAAGUUGAAAGACACCGGAAAUUAAUGAAACGCCAAGAAGAAGAACAUGAGGCACAGCUUUGAUGGACGCAGCCUGCACAGCAGCUGUUUGCAGUAGUAGUAUCGUAAGUCAUAUUGUGCUCUCCCAUCUGUCCACAUUGUUGCCCUCAAUUAAGGCCCUCCCUUCUCUCUUGUGUCUCCCUGCUGUUGGUAAUUGUUUGCACUCACGACCACGGCUGGUUCAGCUCCAGGAGAGGCGAUUCCUCCUUGUCACUACAGCUCCUGCCCCCUCACAGCCACCGACAYCAGAAUUCAUGCACCGGAGACCCAAGCAGAUCCAACUGAGACUCAUUCCUGGUUAAAAGAAUACAACCAAGAAUCAGUGACUUACAGUAGAGCCUUUCCAUGCUUCUGUUCCUCAGCCAUAAGUGCUGCAGCCCACACAAAAGAAGAGGCAGGAAUGAAGGAAUGGGUGAUGUGGGAAAGAAGGGGCUCCUCAGCGCAGCUUAAGCUGAACUGAUGCAAUGAAGACACGAAAGGGAAGYGAGGAAUGUUGACCUGUAACAUCUUUCUGCCUCUUCUCCCACAUGACUCAGGUAUUCAUAAACCUCGAAAACCAGCUGCAUUUCUUUUUCUUUUUUUUUUUUUUUGGUGGCUCAGUUUUCUUCUAAUUUCAUGAGACAAAUCCAGGAUGAGUCCAACUGGAUCCAGAGCAAGAUGUGGUUCACCAACAUACAUCUCCACCCCCGUCAGCAUGUGUACUGCCAGUUUGCCUUCCAUCUUGAAGGGGCCAAUUUAUAUAUUCACAAAAGUACCUUGAUAACUUGUAUCCUACUAAUUUUUAAUAAUAUUGCAUAUAUAUAACCUUUUUUAGGUAGAAUACCUUAUGCAGURAUACUUUCUACAUAUAUACAACCUUUUCAGUACAUCUGUUUUUUUUAACAGGCCGUUGGGCCAGCUGUUGUUGACUGCAUUUUGUUCUAAGCGAACAUUCCAGGAAGGGCACAAAGCCUUUUACAGCAAGUUUUGUUUGAGGAGAAACAAGGAAGCUACUAAUGCGUCAYGUGCAGUGCAAACAGCUGCAGCGUAGGUGCAUCGUUUCCUUAUGUGCUUCAUACGCUUUUAUACCCGACAGUUUCUCAUUCUCACCGAGGAGAAUGAGAUCUCACUGAUGAGCUGCUGCUUCUCUUUUUACUGCUGAUAGGCACAUUCCGUGCUGCUGUCCUUGCUGGCCUCCACAGAUGAUGAUCCAUGCUUCCUGCUCCAGCCUUCAAUGGGAAGUUCAUUCCUCUAGCCUUGCUCUUUCUCGAGCAGCUUGAGCUUUCUGAGUAUCAGCARACUCCACAGAGCUCCCUGGAGAUCCUGGGGGAUGUCCAGCUCUUUGCACCAUUUUUAGAGCCUGGAUCCUGCUGCCUGAGCUUGCGGCUCUCCACCUAAGUUCCUGCUUACUUUGAGCUCAACGUUCUCAGCUGAGAACAUCCCUAGGCUGUUUUGGGGUUAUAUUUUAGGUACGCUGGUUCCUUAUUCUGAUCUGGUGCUCAGCCACUCACCUUGGGUUUUUCACAGCAACAGAGACGGUCCUGGGAAGCGCAGGCAUGUGGGUGUUCAUACAAGAGGYAUCUCCAUGUAGGUGGGACUGCCUYGGUUAAAGGGAUCCAAGUGUAAAACAUGAACGGGAACGUGUCUUGCAGCUUUGUCACUUGCUGAGUCUUGCUCACCUUUGCUUUGCAUGCCACUCAGUUCAUUUAGAUUUUUGGCUUUAUAUUCCAAGGAGUGAAUUUUGAUAGUUUUAAUGUUUUGGUUGUUUUUCUUUUUUUUUUAACUUUCUCUCUUGGGUAUUUCUGUGAUUGCUGCAGAGGUCAGAAAAUACUUUCCCAGAGAUUUUUCUUCUACUUAGAGGAAAAAUACUAUUUUCUUAUUUGAAUCCUCAGGAAAUUUCAAAAUCAAGGACCUGCAAGAUUCUGUAACUAGUUCAGCUGAUUUUAUUAAUAAAGACUUGUGAUUUU